This 84-nucleotide transfer RNA is filed under the name Felis catus (domestic cat). It matches the Rfam family "tRNA". From Rfam's summary of the family: Transfer RNA (tRNA) molecules are approximately 80 nucleotides in length. Their secondary structure includes four short double-helical elements and three loops (D, anti-codon, and T loops). RNAcentral also lists the same sequence under 1 other name. The record is from Rfam by way of RNAcentral. Lineage: Eukaryota; Metazoa; Chordata; Mammalia; Carnivora; Felidae.
GCCUGGGUGGCUCAGUCGGUUGAGCAUCUGACUUCGGCUCAGGUCAUGACCUCACAGUGCGUGAUUCGAGCCCCGCAUCGGGCU